This is a long non-coding RNA of Sceloporus undulatus (fence lizard), 666 nucleotides long. RefSeq lists it as uncharacterized. Lineage: Eukaryota; Metazoa; Chordata; Lepidosauria; Squamata; Phrynosomatidae. The record is from RefSeq and is a predicted model, not a curated record. The transcript has 4 exons.
UGGCGUGUCCAAAACCUUGGAUGUAGCUGCUUAUCCGUAAAGAAGUAGAUAUUCAGGACUGUACGAACAGCCUGGAUAGAAACAAAGACUGGAAAGGAAGAGACUGAAAAAAACUGUUCGAUCUGAAGUGUUAGUCAGCGUCAAAGGAAGAGGUCCUCACGUAAAGACAGCAGGACAGAGGACGUGGUAAAGCCUUAAAAGAGAGACUUUUCCAAAUCAAAGGUGUGCUCUGGUCCCACGGCAACAGAGCUCCCACGCCUUCAUGAAAACAACUGUUCAACAGCUUCAGUGAAGUGCCUUCUCUGUGUGCUUCUUAUGACUCAGCUAAAUCCCAGAGAAGACUGAGGAGACUGUGGUGAAGAGAUGUAUAACAGAGAGAAAAUGACCAUCAGCCUGUGAUCUGUGGUAUGGAACAGUACAGAUUCAUGAUAGGAAAAGGAAAACCAUUCUUCACAGUGAUGGGUGAACUCCAUCUACCACUAGUCGAUGGCUGGUUUCAAGAACAAGCCUGAUUAAAAUGAAUUAUUCAGAAGUAUUUCCACAGGACAUCUAAGAGCAUAACCAGUGAGUGACUAUCUACUUCUCCCCCAGCUAAUACCUGGACAGCUCCUUCUAUUGAAGUUUGAAGCUCCUGAGUCACAUCAUUGUGGUACUUAAGUCCAUUUC